UCAAGUUAUUAAGGGUGCAGGGCGGAUGCCUUGGCACUAGGAGCCGACGAAGGACGUGAUAAGCUGCGAUAAGCUUCGGGGAGUUGCACGUAAACUUUGAUCCGAAGAUUUCCGAAUGAGGAAACUCACUUAGAGUAAUGUCUAAGUAUCGUUAAGUGAAUACAUAGCUUAGCGAGGGGAACCCGGGGAACUGAAACAUCUAAGUACCCGGAGGAAGAGAAAGAAAUUCGAUUCCGUAAGUAGCGGCGAGCGAACGCGGAACAGGCCAAACCAAUGAAGUUUACUUCGUUGGGGUUGCGGACAUACAACAUGGAUGCAAUAUCGUAAAUGAAGAGAGUUGGAAAGCUCCGCCAUAGAAGGUAAUAGCCCUGUAGUUGAAACGAGAAAGCUACUAGUAUGAUCCAGAGUACCACGGGACACGUGAAACCCUGUGGGAAGCAGGAGGGACCAUCCUCCAAGCCUAAAUACUACCUAGUGACCGAUAGCGCAUAGUACCGUGAGGGAAAGGUGAAAAGAACCCCGGGAGGGGAGUGAAAUAGAACCUGAAACCCUGCACUUACAAGCUGUGGGAGCACAUUACUUGUGUGACCGCGUACUUUUUGUAGAACGGGCCAACGAGUUACGUUAAGUAGCAAGGUUAAGCACUUAAGGUGUGGAGCCGUAGCGAAAGCGAGUCUUAAAUGGGCGAUUAAGUUACUUGGCGUAGACCCGAAACCGGGCGACCUAUCCAUGAGCAGGUUGAAGCGAAAGUAAAAUUUCGUGGAGGACCGAACCCACGAGCGUUGAAAAGCUCGGGGAUGACUUGUGGAUAGCGGUGAAAUUCCAAUCGAGCCCGGAGAUAGCUGGUUCUCCCCGAAAUAGCUUUAGGGCUAGCCUCAAGCGUAGAGAAACGGAGGUAGAGCACUGAAUGUCCUAGGGGGUAUUGCACUUACCGAAGACUAUCAAACUCCGAAUGCCGUUUUCUUUUACUUGGGAGUCAGACUGUGGGUGAUAAGAUUCAUAGUCAAAAGGGCAACAGCCCAGAUCGUCAGCUAAGGUCCCUAAAUGUACGUUAAGUGGUAAAGGAUGUGGGAUUGCACAGACAACCAGGAUGUUGGCUUAGAAGCAGCCACUCAUUUAAAGAGUGCGUAAUAGCUCACUGGUCGAGUGAUCCUGCGCCGAAAAUUUCCGGGGCUAAAACGUACUACCGAAGCUACGGCAUCAUUUAUGAUGGGUAGGGGAGCUUCGUAUGCAGGCUGAAGCAUGACCGUAAGGACAUGUGGACAGUAUACGAGUGAGAAUGUUGGCAUGAGUAGCGAGACGUGGGUGAGAAUCCCACGGGCCGUAAACCCAAGGUUUCCAGGGGAAGGUUCGUCCGCCCUGGGUUAGUCGGGACCUAAGCCGAGGCCGAAAGGCGUAGGUGAUGGACAACAGGUUGAUAUUCCUGUACCGCCAAUAAGCGUUUGAGAGAUGGAGUGACACAGUAGGAUAAGCUAACCGUACUGUUGGUUAUGUACGGCUAAGCAUUGAGGCAGUCUAAAUAGGCAAAUCCGUUUGGACAAUGCUAGGAUGUGAUGGGGAAGCCCUUCGGGGCGAAGUAGCUGAUUUCACACUGUCAAGAAAAGCUUCUAUCGAGUUUAAAGGCGCCCGUACCGUAAACCGACACAGGUGGGUGAGGAGAGUAUCCUAAGGCCAGCGAGAGAACUAUUGUUAAGGAACUCGGCAAAAUGACCCCGUAACUUAGGGAGAAGGGGUGCCUGUCUAUGACAGGCCGCAGAGAAUAGGCCCAAGCGACUGUUUACCAAAAACACAGGUUUCUGCUAAGUCGCAAGACGAUGUAUAGGAGCUGACGCCUGCCCGGUGCUGGAAGGUUAAGGGGAUCUGUUAGAGCAAUCGAAGCAGUGAACUUAAGCCCCAGUAAACGGCGGCCGUAACUAUAACGGUCCUAAGGUAGCGAAAUUCCUUGUCGGGUAAGUUCC
Molecule: ribosomal RNA, 1958 nt
Filed under: human gut metagenome
Description: bacterial LSU rRNA
Rfam family: Bacterial large subunit ribosomal RNA
Source: RNAcentral